RNAcentral lists this long non-coding RNA (883 nucleotides) under Olea europaea (common olive). RNAcentral's name for it is "long non-coding RNA (OEUR_LNC014289)". Lineage: Eukaryota; Viridiplantae; Streptophyta; Magnoliopsida; Lamiales; Oleaceae. The record is from RNAcentral.
UUAGUUUGAUCGUUAGUUGACCUAAUAAAUUGACUUUUACCAAUUUUAAAAGAGGUAAAAUUGUAACUUUGACUUAAAAUCGAGAAAAAAAAUCGCUAUUCAUUUUCUCUUUCCUACACCCUCCAUCACACCCCACCUCCUCCUAACCCCAACCACAAAAUUGACCACUACAGCCUUAUCAACACCUGUCGCCAGCAUCCACCAAAACUUCAUCAAAUAGUGUCUUCCCCACUCCACCUCACCUCAACCUAAAACAAAACCCACCCACCACUAACAAUCACCACCAACCGUCGGCAACCACCAUCGUCCACAGGAAAUAAGCUUACACAAGAUAAUAGUGGCGGUGGGUGGCGACAGGUAAACCAACACUACCUUCCAUCGAUAGUAUCUCAUAGUCGGCACCACCACUCUCUUCGAACCACAUCGUCGUCUUCUUCAUCCCAUGCCAACUCAUCAAUCCUCGCCUCCUUUAAUACAUCAACCACAACAUAAGUCACCCCACUACAUACAAAGUUCCCUAUAACCACUGUUCUCAGCAAUCGCUACCACCAACAUUUUUGCUCAAUGCUAUGACUGGCUCCUACCAUCUCCGGACAUGAACCACCGCUGGUCUUUAAUUGCAGUUGCCCGUGCCAAUUGAUUACAACCACUUGUGUUUUCAGGCUCUUGCUCCAUUUUUUUGCCUCAAUUGGUCAUCCUCCAGUGGAAUUGAUUUUGCCACUUUCGAUUCCCAAUAUUUCACGGGUACUUUUAGUAUGGUUUCAGCCUUCCUUUGGCGGGUGGUGGUUGUCGCCCGUGGGUGCUAAUUGGUAGUGUGUCUAGAUUUUUUCAACCAAUGCACGCCUCAAUUUCUCUCCCUAUAGAAGAAGAUGAAGGAUUUGGG